GGAGCACUCAGGGAGAAGCAGUGGCUCAUUGGCAGCCCUAGCUGCAGGAAGGAAGGCGAUGGCAGACACGGGCACAGGCACAGCAGAUGCAGCCGGCACCACAAGUCCAGUUCCGAAUGCCCAGGAUGGCCUCGGAAGGGGUUUCUGUCAGGGAACAGGCUGCUGGCUAGGGUUACUGGCAGGCAUCCUUUGUUUGGAGCUCGUCUUCAUGUUGUGCUGCUUUGGAUUCGGGUAUUCCUGGAACAAAAAACAGAACACCUCGGGACAGAAGUUGGAAGACGGUGUCUGCACCUCACAGCCAGACAGCAUGUGCAGCUCCUCCAGCAGCAGUAAGGGCCUGGACAGCCCUCUCAAGUCUUCUGUGAAGAGGACCCCAGAACAACCGUCUACGACGAAGCCUCCUCUUACACUGUAGAUCCCACUGCCACCUGCUCUCCCCAUGGGCCUCCCCAAGCUGCCUUCAUCCCUUUUUUUAUCUUUGUCUGUCCCAUCCCAGCCAACUCGAGUACCUCUAGGGACCCCAGGACCAGCCCAGCACCCUCCAGCCCUUCCUGAGACCAACACAUCCCUCCCUCUG
Molecule: long non-coding RNA, 577 nt
Organism: Passer domesticus (house sparrow)
Lineage: Eukaryota; Metazoa; Chordata; Aves; Passeriformes; Passeridae
Exons: 3
Source: RefSeq, a predicted model, not a curated record